RNAcentral lists this unclassified non-coding RNA (378 nucleotides) under uncultured Thermoleophilia bacterium. RNAcentral's name for it is "contains 16S-23S intergenic spacer region". The record is from RNAcentral. Lineage: Bacteria; Bacillati; Actinomycetota; Thermoleophilia.
UCCGGUUUGUCACCGGCAGUCUCCUAUGAGUCCCCAACUGAAUGCUGGCAACAUAGGACAGGGGUUGCGCUCGUUACGGGACUUAACCCAACAUCUCACGACACGAGCUGACGACAGCCAUGCAGCACCUGUCUUGGGGCUCCCGAAGGCACCCCCGCAUUUCUACGGCUUUCCCGACCAUGUCAAGCCUUGGUAAGGUUCUUCGCGUUGCGUCGAAUUAAACCACAUGCUCCGCUGCUUGUGCGGGGCCCCGUCAAUUCCUUUGAGUUUUAGCCUUGCGGCCGUACUCCCCAGGCGAGGUGCUUAAUGCGUUAGCUUCGGCACGGAGGGAGUCGACACCCCCCACACCUAGCACCCAUCGUUUACGGCGUGGACUAC